Molecule: long non-coding RNA, 1746 nt
Organism: Crotalus tigris (Tiger rattlesnake)
Lineage: Eukaryota; Metazoa; Chordata; Lepidosauria; Squamata; Viperidae
Exons: 2
Source: RefSeq, a predicted model, not a curated record
UAGAUGGAUAGAUAUAGAUGUAGAGACAGAUCUAGAGAGACGUACAGACUGAUAGAUGUAGAGAUAGAUGGAUAGGUAGAUACAGAGACAGAUUAGAGAAGGAUAUAGAUGACAGGUGUAGAGAUAGAGACAAAUGGAUAGAUAGGCAGACAUGUAGAGGUAAGAGAUGGAUAGAUAGGUGCACUCCUAUUUAAAUCUAUUAAAUAUGCAAGUCAAACUAUUAAGUUUGUUUUCAGCAUUGGUUUUAAUGGGAACUGCUAGCUGUAAUUGACAAGAUAGACAAACCGAGUGCUCUCUGGAUAUUUGGUGUGGUUCUAGUAUUUUCGCUUUGUGUUUCAAUUAUGUUGUGCAGGUGAUUCUAAAUAGACAGACCUCCCUCCACAAAGCAAAGUUCUUUAGAGUCCCGACACCUGGAAGCUUUUCUGUUCGGCAAUGGUACCCCGGAGUUUUUAAAUGAUGCUUAAAGCAAUUGCCUGUCAUAUGGGUAUAUUAGAAGAUAAAUUGGUCAUUAGGAACACCGGUGUUUUGCAUUAUGAAGAGCAAAUAUGUGUAUAGCACAACUAGACGUUUUCCUGUCACUUGCAGUUGAGAAACACUGCAGUAGAGGGAAACUAGAAGAAAUGUCCUUUAAAUAGAAGUGAGUGCAGGAUAGCUUUUAUCUGUAGCUUUGCUUUUCUUGGGCCUUUCACAGCCUCUUUGAAAAAGGGUCACAUGAAAGCAGCCAAACAGUGUUAUCAAAAGUGUAUUAUUGGGAACCGCUUAAAUGCUUCUGUGAUUUGCGUGUGCAUUUUUUUUUUUUUGGCUUGGCUAUGCGGUUUCGUUGCCCUUGAAAUCGCUCAUUUGCAGGACUUUGGGUCGAUCCUUUAAACAUUUUAACUUCCUAGCUUAAAUGUUGAGGGUAGUGUUUUUUAAAGUCUCACUAUUUCCUUUCCGCUCUGUAUUCUACAAACCCUGGGUGUUUGGCUAAUAGGGAGCUUAAUUACUGAGAAAAAAAGCUCUUUUGUAUGCACGGGGUAAGCGUUUUCAGUUUUAAGAGUCUGAUUAAGGACUAUGCUGGGAUAAUAGAAGAAGUAAGAUCUAUUCACUGCCCUGGCAGACUUCCUAUUUUGAGCCUUAUGUUCAAAAUGUUAAAAGGAAAAAAAAAAAACCCCAGAAUUCUGAAGUAUUAGUCACAUAUUGACGGGCAAAGCUAUAGUCUUUUCCUAUUUCCUGGGCAUCAAGACCCCACAUCCUGUCGUUCACCAGAUUGUGUGAGUGCAACUGGGCUGUUUAUUCAGUAUAUAAAACUGGGCAUGUUUAAUUCUCUUGGUAAGAAAGUUCUCAAGAAGACCACGCUUAAACAGCCGGGUGAAAAAAAAUACUUUUAUGUCUAUGAAGUUCCUAAGUACCUAGGCCUGAGGCAGCAAAGCAUUAAGAUUUUUGUUUUUUAAAAAAGGUUUGUUUCUACAGAGGAACUAGCCUAAGAGUAUUCAGGUUACUUUAGUGUAAAACAUGGGUCUUGCUGGCAGAUCCAAAUGCAAAACUUUCACAAGACAUGUAAUCUUUUGAGCCAGAGAAAUGUUAACGUUUGCCGUUGAGUCCACCUUAAAGCCAAAACUUCAUUUUUAAAUCGUUGGUUGUUAAAAAAAAAUUCGUGGAGCCGAUUUGAAGUGUUCCCUUAUUUAUUCUGAGCGCUUCCAAUAGACUUAGUUUUAUUUUAAUGACCCCCUUGGCGAUCUCUCUAUAAAUUGUAACAUUUCAAUCCUU